GAGGUGAAGGUGGGUGUGAAGGCGGGGAGAGGAGAGAGGGGGAGUGAGUUCAAAUGAUUGUGAUGGAGAGGGUGUCGGGUAAUGAAGGGACAAGAUGACACGCACGGCUGCGUGGGGGUGGAGGGCCCCACAGGCGGGGUGGUAACAGUAUAGGAGUGAGAGACCACGUGUCUACCAGCAAAACAUGUUGGUCCACGUGAGUCGGGGUUGAGGUUUUACUUCCACGCUUCCUUCAUUUUCGCCCACCUCCCCCACCUCUCCUCCCACGUGAACUCCACUCUCCCUUGUCUCCUUUCCCUCUCCCCUGGCCCCACACGUGCUCCCCCC
RNAcentral lists this long non-coding RNA (327 nucleotides) under Vitis vinifera (wine grape). Its description in RNAcentral is "long non-coding RNA (VVIN_LNC007513)". The record is from RNAcentral. Lineage: Eukaryota; Viridiplantae; Streptophyta; Magnoliopsida; Vitales; Vitaceae.